Molecule: long non-coding RNA, 1667 nt
Filed under: Pelobates cultripes (western spadefoot toad)
Lineage: Eukaryota; Metazoa; Chordata; Amphibia; Anura; Pelobatidae
Source: RNAcentral
CUUAAAUUAAAUAAAAUAAUAGUUAUAAAAACCGGGAAGUAAUAAUUUGAAGACUGUUAUCCUUUGGGGGAAGGGAGUGGGUUCAUAUUUUGCAACACCCAAGGGAUGGAGCUAAAUGGACUCCUGCUUAGGCUGUCUCCGUGAGUAUUGUCAUCUAUUAUCCUUCAGUUGCAUUAUUGCUGUACACUUGCGUAUGCUGGAGUAGAACUCUGAGGUCUAUGGAGGAUCCCAAGAAGACCACAAUGUUCUAUAGCCAAAAGUUGCAGUGUGUGCUUGGAAGUCUUUUCCAACAGCCAUUCUUAUUAACAGGAGAAACUCCACAAUCUAUUAACCCAGGGUUUCCCAUGACUUUACAUGUUAUGCCCUGGUUAUGCCCAAGCAUACUAUUUAAACGAACAAUAUAGCGUUUGGAUUACAAAUGUGGUGGGGGAGGGGGGGCAUCCUGACCACUUUAUUGAGAUUAAGUGGUCUGGGAGCCUAUAGAGUCCCUGCAAGCAAUAAUUGUGCACAAAUUUGACAUGUGACAGUUCCACUUUGACAAACAAUAUAAUCACAUCUUCAAUCACUGUGGAGUUUGGUCUGCAGAAUCUAUUUUUGUUGCAUGCGUUCCCUACGCGCAAGCAGUAUGUUAAAUGCUGGCUGUAAAAUGACCCAGAAAACUAGGGAGUUUGUGCUAAAUUCAAAAGUAAAUUGUGGAUUUAAGGCAUCGAUAGUUCUCCGCCUCAGUUUGUAGCUUUGCUAAUUUAUUCAGAAUUUUUCAAUCUGGAUUACAAUUUGUAUUCGGUAUUUUGUGAAAAUUCCAUCCAGGUUAAAGAUAGAAAUGUCUGUGUAAGAACAAAAUCACCAAAACUCGAACUGUCGUUGAACAUAUUUUAUGUAUUAUGUAGCAGCCAAUCAGCAUCGAGAGAGCCCUCAUUGUCAGUUUGUCUUUUAAAACUGUAUUUAAAGGGGCACUAUAGGCACCCAGACCACUUCAUCUCAUUGAAGUGGUCUGGGUGCUUUGAACCUCUCCCCUUAGUCCUGCAAUGUAAAACUUAGCAGUUUCAGAGAAGCAGCAAUGUUUAUAUUUCCAGCUUAAGACUAAUUCUGGAGUCUGUCUCUCCGGACGCUGGACUUCUUCACGCGUGUUCUAGAUCCCUAUCGAAAAGCAUUGAGUCCAUGCUUUCCUAUGGGGAAAGCUUAAUGCGCACACAAGGCGGUCGCCGCUUAUGCGCAUUAAUUUCCCGAUCAGCGGAUGUUGGAGGAAGAGGAACCGUCCCAGCACAGAGUAAUGUGGGAGCUAGAAUCAGGGAAAUGUUUAAAAGCUUAUUUAACCCUUUCAUGGAAGGGACGUGGGACGAAGCCCAGACGCACAAGGACAAUUUUGUAUUCCUAGCACUAUAGUGUUCCUUUAGUCCCCCAUUUUGAUCCGGCAUGAAAGUACUUUGUUUGUUUGUUUAGUUUUUUUCCCAAUCCACUUUCAGUAAACUGAAAAGAAUGCAUCUUUGUGGAUAGAGCCCUGGGAGAGGUUUGUAAAUGUCCUAUUCACACCUUUCCCCCUGGAGUAGGCUUUCUGGGUAGCCAAUGCCACUGGGCAGUUUCCAAACACGUAUAACUAAAUGGGGACCUGGAUUUAAGUCAAUCAGUAUCGAAUUUCCUGUAUUAAAAAUAAAGAUUUUUACCACUGU